GAUGAACGCUAGCGGCAGGCCUAACACAUGCGAGUCGAGGGGCAGCACAGAAACAGCAAUGUUUUGGUGGCGACCGGCGGACGGGUGCGUAACGCGUAUGCAACCUACCUUUAACAGGGGGAUAACGGAGAGAAAUUUCCACUAAUACCCCAUAACAUCGAUCAAGGCAUCUUGAUUGUUGGAAAACUCCGGUGGUUAAAGAUGGGCAUGCGUUGUAUUAGGUAGUUGGUGAGGUAAUGGCUCACCAAGCCUACGAUACAUAGGGGGACUGAGAGGUUAGCCCCCCACACUGGUACUGAGACACGGACCAGACUCCUACGGGAGGCAGCAGUGAGGAAUAUUGGUCAAUGGGGGCAACCCUGAACCAGCCAUGCCGCGUGCAGGAAGACGGCUCUAUGAGUUGUAAACUGCUUUUAAACAGGGAUAAAGCACAGUAUGUAUACUGUGUUGAAGGUACUGUAAGAAUAAGGAUCGGCUAACUCCGUGCCAGCAGCCGCGGUAA
RNAcentral lists this ribosomal RNA (502 nucleotides) under uncultured bacterium. RNAcentral describes it as "partial 16S ribosomal RNA". It matches the Rfam family "Bacterial small subunit ribosomal RNA", at positions 28 to 523 of the family's 1533-position model. The record is from RNAcentral.